AGUUAUAUAGGGGUAUGACUUGGUCAUUUGUCUUCCAGACACGGAAGAAGUACAUGGCCAUGCUCCCAUUAUCUAAAUUCAGCCACUAAAGGGCCCUGGGAGCAUCAUAGCAGCAGAUCAAACAGCAGAGAAUACUGCCCUGAUCCUCUGUGAUCCAUUGAGACUGGGAAAAAAGAAAAAACAAGACGACUGCAUCAAACCUAAGGAACUAGCCCUGGGUGGGUACAGGGAGAAGCAGAGAGACUUGCCUUCAG
This 254-nucleotide long non-coding RNA is filed under the name Homo sapiens (human). RNAcentral's name for it is "HSALNT0218747". Lineage: Eukaryota; Metazoa; Chordata; Mammalia; Primates; Hominidae. The record is from RNAcentral.